Molecule: ribosomal RNA, 492 nt
Filed under: uncultured bacterium
Lineage: Bacteria
Description: bacterial SSU rRNA
Rfam family: Bacterial small subunit ribosomal RNA
Source: RNAcentral
UAGUCCACACCGUAAACGAUGAGAGCUAGUUGUCAGCAGGCAUGCCUGUUGGUGACGCUAACGCAUUAAGCAUCCCGCCUGGGGAGUACGGUCGCAAGAUUAAAACUCAAAGGAAUUGACGGGGACCCGCACAAGCGGUGGAGCAUGUGGUUUAAUUCGAGGCAACGCGAAGAACCUUACCAGGACUUGACAUGCCGGUCGCGGAUCGUAGAGAUACUUUCCUUCAGCUUGGCUGGACCGUGCACAGGUGCUGCACGGCUGUCGUCAGCUCGUGUCGUGAGAUGUUGGGUUAAGUCCCGCAACGAGCGCAACCCUCAUCCUUAGUUGCUAACAUUUAGUUGAGAACUCUAAGGAAACUGCCGGAGUUAAUCCGGAGGAAGGUGGGGAUGACGUCAAGUCUUCAUGGCCCUUAUGUCCUGGGCUACACACGUGCUACAAUGGUAGUGACAGUGGGCAGCGACACAGCAAUGUGGAGCUAAUCCCUAAAAGCUA